AUGGAAAAGCUGCUCGCCGUAGUGUGUGUUUCAAGCCUUCUUCUAGCCGCUCUUGCGGACGAUGCCUCCUCCCGAUCUUCUCUUCAGUACCCCUCCCUGGACAGUCUACAAGGUCGUGUUCUAGGUCGCAAAGGCCGAGAAGAGCCAGCACACCACCAUUACCGGCGUGAAGGCGAGCACGAGCAGCAUCAUGAGGUUGUACCUAUGGGAGUGGAGAGUGCUGAAGAGAGGAAGAAGGCAGGCUGGAGGAACGAGGACGAGGACGCGGUUGCGACGGAAGGGUUGAUCUCCAGCGCGGACUACAGCGGCGUGGCCAUGCACGGCCACAGCUCCCUGCCGGCGCACAAAAAGCACCCCAAACCAUAG
This 366-nucleotide ribosomal RNA is filed under the name Triticum aestivum (bread wheat). RNAcentral's name for it is "partial small subunit ribosomal RNA". Lineage: Eukaryota; Viridiplantae; Streptophyta; Magnoliopsida; Poales; Poaceae. The record is from RNAcentral.